GUGGCUGUCUGGUCACUACUGAGAGACUGUCGGUGGCUGUCUGGUCAUUACUGAGAGAAUGUCGGUGGCUGGCCAUCCUGUCUGGUCACUACUGAGAGACUGUCGGUGGCUGGCCAUCCUGUCUGCACUAUGUGUGCAAAGCUGUCAUCAAGGCAAAGGGUGGCUACUUUGAAGAAUCUAAAAUAUAUUUUGAUUUGUUUAACGUUUUUUUGGUUACUACAUGAUUCCAUGUGUUAUUUCAUAGUUUUGAAGUCUUCACUAUUAUUUUACAAUGUAGAAAAUAGUUAAAAAAAAAACUGGAAUGAGUAGUUUUGUCCAAACUUUUGACUGGUACUGUAUAUGGACAAAAUCAUCAUGGUGCUUUUUGAUGCCAAGUUUACAAACAUUGGUUGUGGUAAGUAUAAUAUAAACUUUGGUAUCAUUAUGGUAAGGCGGGAAUUAAGUAUAGCCAGUUAUUGCUUAGCAGAUCAUUAAAAUAAAAGAGAGAAUAUAAUAUCUAUUGUUUUACAGGAAACUCACUCUGUAGAUGAGGUUGGGAGAAAUAUAUUUUGUCGCGGGCUAAGAAACUCAAAAGGUUUGACUGUAUUAACAACAAUGUUUAUAUGAUUGUGCAAACUGAUCGUCAAGGAAGAUGGAUCCUUUUAAAAAUGUUAUUGGACCAAAAACAGAUCUUGAUAAUUAAUCUAUAUGGGCCAAAUGAUCCACACUUAUUAGAAUAUAUAUAUAUAUUGAGCUCACAAGCAACGAAUUAAUCUAUUAUUAUGGUGGGAGAUUUUAAUGCUCUUUUAAGUACAUCCAUGGAUCGUAAAGAAAUCACACUACAGACUAUCACCCUCUUAAUGAAAUCACAAAUAUCAUAAUAUAUUAUGGAGGUUUAAUAUCCUAUCCUAGUGAGAUAUACAUGGAGGUUUAACAUCCUGACCUAGAGAGAUAUACAUGGAGGAGGUUUAAUAUCCUGACCUAGUGAGAUAUACACGGAGGAGGUUUAAUAUCCUGACCUAGUGAGAUAUACACGGAGGAGGUUUAAUAUCCUGACCUAGUGAGAUAUACAUGGAGGAGGUUUAAUAUCCUGACCUAGUGAGAUAUACAUGGAGGAGGCUUAAUAUCCUGUUUUUAACAACCUGUUUUUAACGAAGACAACAUUAUUUAUAAUUGACUUUUUUCUGCACAACAUAUGUACAGCACAUCCCCUCAUUGUAUGGGACACUUUCAAAUGUACUUUUAGAGGCCAUUCAAUACAAUACUCAUCAUUAAAACAAAAGCAAAUUAGAGGCACAACAUACUGUAGGUUAUAGGAAAUAACAGCAGGGAGAUAGUAAUGGUAACUACUAUAGAGGCACAAAAUAGGUUAUAGGAAAAACAAAAGGAAUUGGGGGGACUUAAAAGCGAAUUGGAUGGUAAAUGAUGAAAAAUGCACAAAAUUAUUUUUUUAUCUUCAACAUCAAAAUGCUAUGAAAAAGAGUUUACAGAAACUCGUUACAAAUGUUGGAGUCAUCCAUGAUUCACCAAAUUAUACUAUACUUUGAAAUAGGAAGCUAAAUAUUUUAAGCGUAUCAUUUAUUCAGUCUCCACUGAAUGAUUUUAACUGUAAGGAUUUAUUUCCUAAUAAUAAUGUAGAAUUAACAAAUGUACAGAAAGAUUAAAUAUUUUCAGUCUGGAAAAACACCAGGGCUUGACAGUAUACCAGUAGAGGUAUAUCAGACCUUUUUUGAUGUACUCAAAUAUCCAUUAUUAGCAUGUUUUAAUUACUCCUAUAAAAAUGGCAGACUUUCAGGUACUCAACAAGGUCUGAUUUCAUUACUACUGAAACAGGACCCUUGUGGUAAGGUAUAAAGAUCCAGUCCAUUUAAACAACUGGAGACCUCUAAUGCUUCAAUGUUGUGAUGUGAAAAUCCUGGCGAGAUGAAAAGCACAUAGAACAAAACAGGUUUUUACCAGAUAUUGUUCAUCCUGAUCAGACAGGUUUUUUACAUUGACAAUAUAUUGGAGAUAUUAUUAGACAAUUACUUGAAACAAUUGAGCAUUAUGAAACAUCAAAGAUACCAGGCCUGGUCUUCAUAGCAGAUUUCGAAAAGGCAUUUGAUAAAGUAAGUCUAAAAUGUAUAUAUAAAUGCCUGGACUACUUUAAUAUCAGUGAAUCUCUUAUACAAUGGGUUAAAGUUAUGUACAGCAACCCCAGGUGUAAAAUAGUCUCAGAAAGUAUUGAGCUUUUAAGAGGAGUAAAACAAGGUUGUCCGUUGUCGCCAUAUCUAUUUAUUAUGGUCAUUGAAAUGCUAGAUAUUAAAAUUAGAUCCAACAAGAACAUUAAGGGGUUAGAAAUCCAGGGUUAAAAACAAGUGUCAAUGUAUGCCGAUUUUAGUUUUUUUCUUAAGUCCACAAUCUGGAUCCCUGCACAGUCUCAUUAAAGAUCAUGUUUCUAGCCUCUGGACUAAAACCUAAUUAUGACAAGUAUAUCAUAUUACGCGUUGGAUCGUUAAAAUACGGUGUUUACACUGCUUUGCAGUUUACCAAUAAAAUGGGCGGAUGGUGAAGUAGACAUACUUGGUAUUCAUAACUCAAAAAAUGUUAAUGAGUUUGGUUGUGUUAAUGUCAAUAGAAUGUUUUCAAAAAUAGAUACAAUUCUGCAAACAUGGAGAGGUAAAUACUUGCUUAUUUAUGGAAAAAUCACAUUGAUUCACUUGUUGGUCCUAUCAGUUGACUUACUUACUAAUUGCACAGCCUACUCCAGACAAUCUUUUUUUAAUCAUAUGAGCAAAACAAAUAUUUCACUUAUUUGAAAUGCUAUGCCAGACCAAAUUAAACGUACCUAUUUAUGAGUUUGAGGGCCUAAAAUCAUUAAAUAUUGAUUAAAUAUUAAACCUCACUAAAGGAUUCACUCAUAAGUUAUACUUAAACCCCAAAUUGUUCUCCAGUAGAUUAUUAAGAAAGGCUCAUUUAUUGAAAAAUGACUUUUUGCGUUUAAACAGAUUACAACUUCUAAUUUCUGACUAAUUGAAAAUGAAACUUUGUUUUAAGUAUCAUCCUUUCUUAAACAAGCCAUACAAAGCUGGUUACAAUUUCAAUGUUAUCCUACAGAAGAGAUGGAACAAAUAUUAUGGUUAAACUGAAAUAUACUGAUUGAUUUAAAAAAAAAAAACGUUCUUUAUGGAUAAAAAAAAAGGUAUAUUUAUUAAUGAUAUUAUGAGUAGAAACAGAGGAGUUGUGUCAUAUGCAGCUAUCGAAAAUACAUGGGAAAUUCUGCUCAAUACAAAAAUGGCAAGUGGAAAAGGGCAAAGGUAGGGAACUUGUUUGCCUGCCAUAUAUUAAAGAUACAUAUUGGCUGAAAGGAACUGGCAUAAAUAGAAAAGUAUACCAGUUUCAUCUGAGGACAAAAAUGUUGACAGCUGCGUCAUUCAGGUUGUAAAAUAGUUGAGAAGAGAUUUCUGAUGUUUAAAAAAAUAAAUAAUGUAACCUUUAUUUAACUACGCAAGUCAGUUAAGAACAAAUUCUUAUUUACAAUGUCGGCCUUUACAAUGUACCGAUUCCUGACACUUGAUUCAAUUAAUAUUCAACAUUCUUGCCACCAAAAUAUGCUAUAUAUAAACUGAAUAAAAAUAUAAAUGCAACGUGUAAAGUGUUGGUCCUAUGUUUCAUGAGUUGAAAUAAAAGAUGAACAAAAAGCAUAUUUCUCAAAUGUUGUGUACAAAUUUCUUUACAUCCUUGUUAGUGAGCAUUUCUCCUUUGCCAAUAUAAUCCAUCCACCUGACAUGUGUGGCAUAUCAAGAAUCUGAUUAAACAAUAUGAUCAUUACACAGGUGCACCUUGUGCUGUGGACAAAAGGCCACUCCAAAAUGUGCGGUUUUGUCACACAACACAAUGCCACAGAUGUCUCAAGUUUUGAGGGAGCGUGAAAUUGGCAUGCUGACUGCAGGAAUGUCCGCCAGAGCUGUUGCCAAAGAAUUGAAUGUUAAUUUCUCUACCAUAAGCCACCAAUGUCGUUUUAGAGAAUUUGGCAGUACGUCCAACCGGCCUCACAACCGCAGACAACGCCAGCCCAGGACUUCCACAUCCGACUUCUUCACCUGUGAGAUCGUUUGAGGUGGAGGAGUAUUUCUGUCUGUAAUAAACAAUUUUUUUCAGAAAAGUGUCAUUUUGAUUGGCUUGGCCUGGCUCCCCAGUGUGUGGGCCUGGCUCCCAGGUGUGUGGGUGGAUGACCCAUGGCUGUGCCCCUGCCCAGUCAUGUGAAACCA
RNAcentral lists this long non-coding RNA (4229 nucleotides) under Salmo salar (Atlantic salmon). RNAcentral describes it as "lncRNA (ENSSSAG00000087651.1)". The record is from RNAcentral. Lineage: Eukaryota; Metazoa; Chordata; Actinopteri; Salmoniformes; Salmonidae.